Molecule: long non-coding RNA, 839 nt
Filed under: Prunus persica (peach)
Lineage: Eukaryota; Viridiplantae; Streptophyta; Magnoliopsida; Rosales; Rosaceae
Description: long non-coding RNA (PPER_LNC005436)
Source: RNAcentral
UUGCCAAAGUUAUUCAGCCUCUCAAAUUGCUCCACUGUCCAUUUGUUCCAUCUCAUGAGAAACACUCUCAGUGUUAGGCCAUGUGAAAACCAAUUGAAAAUUUAGAAGCGACCGUAAAGCAUUCGAAUGGCUUUCUCUACUCUCAUCUUCUCCCUGUCCUGAAAAUUCCCUUUUUAUGGAAAAAAUUGGAACAAAGUCUUGUUAAAAGUAGUGUUCCAAUUGUUUUUAGUAAAUUGACACUUACCGAAGUCUUGCUCUCUUAGCCGAGGCUCUUCUGUCUAGGAGGGGGUGCUUUAGUACUAGUAGCUGACUUCCUAUGCAAGUGCUUUUCAGGAAAACUAGCCAACCUCACUUUGUAUUUUGGACAGCUGUUCCUAAUUGAUUCUCAUAUAUUUUGGCAUUUGAAAAUCCUCAUUUCUGUUGUUGUGAUAUCUCACACAACCUUGCAAUUAUGGUAAUUUUCUUAUUCAAUUCUUAUUUUGAUCAUCUUGUAUCCUAAAAUUUGUGUUGAUUAAACUGCUUUUAUGUGCAGUAUGGGGACAUGCUGGAAAACUGGGCAGCCUUUAAUUAAAUGGAAAUUAUGAACUUGUAUUUUGGAUAGCCUUUCAUUUCUUAGUUUUAUCAUCUUGUAUUCAUUUCUUAUGAACUUUAGAAUGUUUGUUUUGAUGGAAAUUGUGAACUUAUAUGCAUGCUGGAAACUGGACAGCUUUUGAUUAAAUGAAAAUUAUAAACUUGUAUUUUGGGCAGCCUUUCUUUUCUUAGUUUUAUCAUCUUGUAUUAAUUUCUUAUGAACUUUACUACUUUAGAAUGUUUGUUUUGAUGGAAAUUGUGAACUUAGA